GUCUACGGCCAUACCACCCUGAACGCUCCCGAUCUCUUCUGAUCUCAGAAGCUAAGCAGGGUCGGUCCUGGUUAGUACUUGGAUGGGAGACCACCUGGGAAUACCAGGAGCUGUAGGCU
Ribosomal RNA from Cavia aperea (Brazilian guinea pig), 119 nucleotides. The record is from Ensembl. Lineage: Eukaryota; Metazoa; Chordata; Mammalia; Rodentia; Caviidae.